AUGAACCUGGUGAGCCACAGCAGGGAAGCUGGCACUGGCCAGUUGCUCUUCGCCAACUUCAACAGGACGACAUAGCCGUGCAAAGGGCACCAAGAGCAGCUGGUCUCCAUCAUCUCACUGUAUCCUGGUCCCUAGCUGUUGGUAAAAGUCAGGUUAUAAAUUUUUCUGCCUUUCUUCUGUGGAUAAGCUGGAACAGAUCUAUGAAUGCGCUGAUAUUGAAGAUAUGUGCAUUAUAGAAAGACUGUUCUCAAGCAGCUUAGUGGCCAUCAUUAGCCUCAAAGCCCCCAGGAAGCUAAAAGUUUGCCAUUUUAAGAAGAGAACCGAGAUCAGCAACUAUGCCACUCCAACAUGAUACUGGCUGUGAAGCUCAACAGGCAGAGGCUACAGUAUGAAGAAUCUCUAUAUAUACACCACAUCCAGGAUACGAAGGUACUGCAUGUGAUCAGAGAGACCCCUCUGCAGGCUUGUGUGUACUGUCAAUAAACAAUGACAAUUGUUACUUGGCAUACCCAGGGAGUGCAACCAUUGGGGAGGUGCAGGUCUUUGAUAUGAUUAAUUUGAGAGCUACAAACAUGAUCCUGGCUCAUGAUAGUCCUUUAGCAGCAUUGGCUUUUAAUGCAAAUGGAACCAAACGUGCCACUGCUUCUGAGAAGGGGACCGUGAUUAGGGUAUUUUCCAUUCCAGAGGGACAAAAACUCCUUGAAUUCAGGAGAGGAGUUAAGAGGUGUGUUAGCAUCUGCUCAUUGGGCCUUCAGUAUGGACAGCAUGUUCCUCUCUGCAUCUAGCAAUGCCAAGACUGUGUACAUCUUCAAACUCGAGACUGUGAAGGAAAAACCUCCAGAGGAACCACCACUUGGACUGGCUACUUUGGGAAGAUGCUCAUGGCCUCCACUAGCCACCUGCCUUCUCAAGUGACAGAAAUGCAACCAGGGCAGAGCCUUUGCCACAGUCCACCUACCCUUCUGUGGCCACAAAAACAUCUUUUCACUGGCCACAAUUCAGAAGAUCCCCCGGCUGUUGGGGGGAUCUGUAGAACCUGGACCCCCCAGGAGGGGGGUGAGUGCGCCCUCAUGAAGCAGCACCAGUUGGAUGGCAGUAUGGAGACGGCCAGUGAAAUCUCAGACUCUGCCUCUCAUGACUGUCCCUUAGUAACUCAGACAUACAGUACAGCUGUAGCAAAAGGUACUAUGUGCCUUCAUCUCCAACAAGACUUGGUGAGGAGCAUGACAGAAACCUUGAAGCCUACACAGAUGACUUGGGUGCCAUGGGUGGUGCUUGUCUGGAGGAUGAAACCAGCGCCCUACGCCUGGAUGAGGACAGGGAGCAUCCUCCCAUGAUUCUUUGGACUGACUGAACCUGACCUGUGACCUCUGAUCCUGGAAGCAGAGAACACCGGCUUGACAGAGGACUUUGUGCAUUGCUGCUAUGAACUUUGACCUGAAUUAGGGAGAGGAUGGCAGAGACCUUAAAAAAAAAAAGAUUGUA
Molecule: RNA transcript, 1485 nt
Organism: Otolemur garnettii (small-eared galago)
Lineage: Eukaryota; Metazoa; Chordata; Mammalia; Primates; Galagidae
Gene name: WD repeat domain phosphoinositide-interacting protein 2 pseudogene
Exons: 1
Source: RefSeq, a predicted model, not a curated record